CCUACGGGUGGCAGCAGUGAGGAAUAUUGGUCAAUGGGCGCGAGCCUGAACCCGCCAAGUAGCGUGAAGGAUGACUGCCCUACGGGUUGUCAACUUCUUGUAUAAAGGAAUAAAGUGAGGCACGUGUGCCUUUUUGUAUGUACUUUAUGAGUAAGGAUCGGCUAACUCCGUGCCAGCAGCCGAGGUAAUACGGAGGAUCCGAGAGUUAUCCGGAUUUAUUGGGUUUAAAGGGAGCGUAGAUGGGUUCUUAAGUCAGUUGUGAAAGUUUGCGGCUCAAACGUAAAAUUGCAAUUGAUACUGGCAGCCAUGAGUACAGUUGAGGUAGGCGGAAUUCGUGGUGUAGCGGUGAAAUGCUUAGAUAUCACGAAGAACUCCGAUUGCGAAGGCAGCCUACUAAACUGCCACUGACAUUGAUGCUCGAAAGUGUGGGUAUCAAACAGGAUUAGAUACCCGGGUAGUC
This 460-nucleotide ribosomal RNA is filed under the name uncultured bacterium. RNAcentral describes it as "partial 16S ribosomal RNA". It matches the Rfam family "Bacterial small subunit ribosomal RNA", at positions 338 to 795 of the family's 1533-position model. The record is from RNAcentral.